This 700-nucleotide ribosomal RNA is filed under the name uncultured bacterium. RNAcentral's name for it is "bacterial SSU rRNA". It matches the Rfam family "Bacterial small subunit ribosomal RNA", at positions 60 to 761 of the family's 1533-position model. The record is from RNAcentral.
AGUCGAACGAUGAAGGGAGCUUGCUCCCUGGAUUAGUGGCGAACGGGUGAGUAACACGUGAGUAACCUGCCCUUGACUCUGGGAUAAGCACUGGAAACGGUGUCUAAUACCGGAUACGAACUUCAGCCGCAUGGCUAGGAGUUGGAAAGAAUUUCGGUCAAGGAUGGACUCGCGGCCUAUCAGCUAGUUGGUGAGGUAAUGGCCCACCAAGGCGACGACGGGUAGCCGGCCUGAGAGGGUGACCGGCCACACUGGGACUGAGACACGGCCCAGACUCCUACGGGAGGCAGCAGUGGGGAAUAUUGCACAAUGGGCGCAAGCCUGAUGCAGCAACGCCGCGUGAGGGACGACGGCCUUCGGGUUGUAAACCUCUUUUAGUAGGGAAGAAGCAAAGUGUUUUACAUGGAGUGACGGUACCUGCAGAAAAAGCACCGGCUAACUACGUGCCAGCAGCCGCGGUAAUACGUAGGGUGCAAGCGUUAUCCGGAAUUAUUGGGCGUAAAGAGCUCGUAGGCGGUUUGUCGCGUCUGCUGUGAAAACUGGGGGCUCAACCCCCAGCCUGCAGUGGGUACGGGCAGACUAGAGUGCGGUAGGGGAGAUUGGAAUUCCUGGUGUAGCGGUGGAAUGCGCAGAUAUCAGGAGGAACACCAAUGGCGAAGGCAGAUCUCUGGGCCGUAACUGACGCUGAGGAGCGAAAGCA